GACGAACGCUGGCGGCGUGCCUAAUACAUGCAAGUCGAGCGAAGUUUUUCUGGUGCUUGCACUAGAAAAACUUAGCGGCGAACGGGUGAGUAACACGUAAAGAACCUGCCUCAUAGACUGGGACAACUAUUGGAAACGGUAGCUAAUACCGGAUAACAGUAUUUCUCGCAUGAGAGAUAUUUAAAAGUUGGUUAUGCUAACACUAUGAGAUGGCUUUGCGGUGCAUUAGCUAGUUGGUGGGGUAAAGGCCCACCAAGGCGACGAUGCAUAGCCGACCUGAGAGGGGGAUCGGCCCCACUGGGACUGAGACACGGCCCAGACUCCCACGGGAGGCAGCAGUAGGGAAUCUUCCGCAAUGGGCGAAAGCCUGACGGAGCAACGCCGCGUGGGUGAAGAAGGAUUUCGGUUCGUAAAGCUCUUUUGUUAGGGAAGAAUGGAUAUGUAGUAACUAUACAUGUAAGAGACGGUACCUAACCAGAAAGCCACGGCUAACUACGU
This 498-nucleotide ribosomal RNA is filed under the name uncultured bacterium. Its description in RNAcentral is "partial 16S ribosomal RNA". It matches the Rfam family "Bacterial small subunit ribosomal RNA", at positions 28 to 506 of the family's 1533-position model. The record is from RNAcentral.